UCACCUACGGGAGGCAGCAGUGAGGAAUAUUGGUCAAUGGGCGGGAGCCUGAACCAGCCAAGUCGCGUGAAGGAAGAAGGUACUUAGUAUUGUAAACCUCUUUUGUCGGGGAACAAAGGCGGAGACGCGUCUCCGGAUGAGUGUACCCGAAGAAAAAGCAUCGGCUAACUCCGUGCCAGCAGCCGCGGUAAUACGGAGGAUGCGAGCGUUAUCCGGAUUUAUUGGGUUUAAAGGGUGCGCAGGCGGGAGAUCAAGUCAGCGGUAAAAUUGCGGGGCUCAACCCCUGCGAGCCGUUGAAACUGGUU
This 305-nucleotide ribosomal RNA is filed under the name uncultured bacterium. Its description in RNAcentral is "bacterial SSU rRNA". It matches the Rfam family "Bacterial small subunit ribosomal RNA", at positions 335 to 638 of the family's 1533-position model. The record is from RNAcentral.